Molecule: ribosomal RNA, 466 nt
Filed under: uncultured bacterium
Lineage: Bacteria
Description: partial 16S ribosomal RNA
Rfam family: Bacterial small subunit ribosomal RNA
Source: RNAcentral
GACGAACGCUGGCGGCGUGCUUAACACAUGCAAGUCGAACGGAAAGGCCCAGCUUGCUGGGUACUCGAGUGGCGAACGGGUGAGUAACACGUGGGUGAUCUGCCCUGAACUCUGGGAUAAGCCUGGGAAACUGGGUCUAAUACCGGAUAUGACCUUACAUCGCAUGGUGUUUGGUGGAAAGCUUUUGCGGUUCAGGAUGGGCCCGCGGCCUAUCAGCUUGUUGGUGGGGUAAUGGCCUACCAAGGCGACGACGGGUAGCCGACCUGAGAGGGUGAUCGGCCACACUGGGACUGAGACACGGCCCAGACUCCUACGGGAGGCAGCAGUGGGGAAUAUUGCACAAUGGGCGCAAGCCUGAUGCAGCGACGCCGCGUGAGGGAUGACGGCCUUCGGGUUGUAAACCUCUUUCACCAGGGACGAAGCGUGAGUGACGGUACCUGGAGAAGAAGCACCGGCCAACUACGUG